This 660-nucleotide ribosomal RNA is filed under the name uncultured bacterium. Its description in RNAcentral is "bacterial SSU rRNA". It matches the Rfam family "Bacterial small subunit ribosomal RNA", at positions 94 to 788 of the family's 1533-position model. The record is from RNAcentral.
AGUGGCGGACGGGUGAGUAACGCGUGAGAAUCUGCCUUGGGGUCGGGGACAACCACUGGAAACGGUGGCUAAUACCGGAUACGCCUUCGGGUAAAAGAUUUAUUGCCCUAAGAGGAGCUCGCGUCUGAUUAGCUAGUUGGUGAGGUAAGAGCUCACCAAGGCAGCGAUCAGUAGCUGGUCUGAGAGGACGAUCAGCCACACUGGGACUGAGACACGGCCCAGACUCCUACGGGAGGCAGCAGUGGGGAAUUUUCCGCAAUGGGCGAAAGCCUGACGGAGCAAGACCGCGUGAGGGAGGAAGGCUCUUGGGUUGUAAACCUCUUUUCUCAGGGAAGAAGCUCUGACGGUACCUGAGGAAUCAGCCUCGGCUAACUCCGUGCCAGCAGCCGCGGUAAUACGGAGGAGGCAAGCGUUAUCCGGAAUUAUUGGGCGUAAAGCGUCCGCAGGUGGCGAUUCAAGUCUGCUGUCAAAGCACGGGGCUUAACUCCGUAAAGGCAGUGGAAACUGAAUAGCUAGAGUGCCGUAGGGGUAGAGGGAAUUCCCGGUGUAGCGGUGAAAUGCGUAGAGAUCGGGAAGAACAUCGGUGGCGAAAGCGCUCUACUGGACGGCAUCUGACACUCAGGGACGAAAGCUAGGGGAGCGAAUGGGAUUAGAUACCCC